GACGAACGCUGGCGGCGCGCCUAACACAUGCAAGUCGAACGAGCGAGAGAGAGCUUGCUUUCUUGAGCGAGUGGCGAACGGGUGAGUAACGCGUGAGGAACCUGCCUCAAAGAGGGGGACAACAGUUGGAAACGACUGCUAAUACCGCAUAAGCCCACGGUGCCGCAUGGCACAGAGGGAAAAGGAGCAAUCCGCUUUGAGAUGGCCUCGCGUCCGAUUAGCUAGUUGGUGAGGUAACGGCCCACCAAGGCGACGAUCGGUAGCCGGACUGAGAGGUUGAACGGCCACAUUGAGACUGAGACACGGCCCAGACUCCUACGGGAGGCAGCAGUGGGGAAUAUUGCACAAUGGGGGAAGCCCUGAUGCAGCGACGCCGCGUGGAGGAAGAAGGUCUUCGGAUUGUAAACUCCUGUUGUUGGGGAAGAUAAUGACGGUACCCAACAAGGAAGUGACGGCUAACUACGUG
Molecule: ribosomal RNA, 466 nt
Filed under: uncultured bacterium
Lineage: Bacteria
Description: partial 16S ribosomal RNA
Rfam family: Bacterial small subunit ribosomal RNA
Source: RNAcentral